UACAGAGGGUGCGAGCGUUGUCCGGAAUUAUUGGGCGUAAAGAGCUCGUAGGCGGUUUGUCGCGUCUGCCGUGAAAGUCCGGGGCUCAACUCCGGAUCUGCGGUGGGUACGGGCAGACUAGAGUGAUGUAGGGGAGACUGGAAUUCCUGGUGUAGCGGUGAAAUGCGCAGAUAUCAGGAGGAACACCGAUGGCGAAGGCAGGUCUCUGGGCAUUAACUGACGCUGAGGAGCGAAAGCAUGGGGAGCGAACAGG
This 253-nucleotide ribosomal RNA is filed under the name uncultured bacterium. Its description in RNAcentral is "partial 16S ribosomal RNA". It matches the Rfam family "Bacterial small subunit ribosomal RNA", at positions 524 to 776 of the family's 1533-position model. The record is from RNAcentral.